GUGGGGAAUUUUGGACAAUGGGCGCAAGCCUGAUCCAGCAAUGCCGCGCGCAGGAAGAAGGCCUUCGGGUUGUAAAGCACUUUUGGCAGGAAAGAAAUAGUGCGUGCUAAUACCAUGCGCGAAUGACGGUACCUGCAGAAUAAGCACCGGCUAACUACGUGCCAGCAGCCGCGGUAAGACGUAGGGUGCAAGCGUUAAUCGGAAUUACUGGGCGUAAAGCGUGCGCAGGCGGUUUUGUAAGACAGGUGUGAAAUCCCCGGGCUCAACCUGGGAACGGCACUUGUGACUGCAAGGCUAGAGUGUGUCAGAGGGAGGUGGAAUUCCGCGUGUAGCAGUGAAAUGCGUAGAGAUGCGGAGGAACACCGAUGGCGAAGGCAGCCUCCUGGGAUAACACUGACGCUCAGACACGAAAGCGUGGGGAGCAAACAGGAUUAGAAACCCCGGUAGUCC
Molecule: ribosomal RNA, 450 nt
Filed under: uncultured bacterium
Lineage: Bacteria
Description: partial 16S ribosomal RNA
Rfam family: Bacterial small subunit ribosomal RNA
Source: RNAcentral